ACCAUCUGAGGUUACAGUCUUACAGAGACGACUGUUGGUCCAAGUCCAGUGGUUUUUUAUUGGUAAAAAAAAAAAUCCCAAAAAAAUGGCCGGGGAACUGGAACAAGGCAUGGAGAAUUCAUGCAUUUACAAGAAUCGUAACGAGCCCGUGGAGGCUAGAAUCAAAGAUUUGAUCUCUCGAAUGACCGUGGAAGAGAAGAUCGGCCAGAUGGCUCAAAUCGGGCGAAGCGUCGCUACUCCUUCCGUCGUCCGCAAAUUCUUCAUCGGGAGUGUACUGAGUGGUGGUGGAAGUAUCCCAUUCGAGAAGGCACUGUCAUCAGAUUGGGCGGACAUGGUGGAUGGAUACCAGAAGGCAGCACUUGAGACGCGGCUUGGAAUUCCGAUUAUAUAUGGGAUUGACGCUGUUCAUGGCAACAACAAUGUCUAUGGUGCUACAAUAUUUCCUCACAACAUCGGCCUUGGAGCCACCAGAGAUGCAGAUUUGGCGUAUAAAAUUGGUGUGGCAACUGCUCUUGAAGUUAGGGCUAGUGGCGUUCACUAUGAUUUCGCUCCCUGUGUUGCUGUAGCCAGAGAUCCCAGAUGGGGAAGAACUUAUGAGUCUUAUAGUGAAGAUGUCGACAUUGUUAGAAAGAUGACUUCCAUUGUAUCAGGCUUGCAAGGUCAACCACCCAAAGGACAUCCAAAUGGUUACCCUUUUGUUAAUGGAAGAAAUAAAGUUGCAGCAUGCGCCAAACAUUUUGUUGGCGAUGGAGGCACUCACAAGGGCAUAAAUGAGGGCAAUACCUUAACGUCUUAUGAGGAUUUGGAGAAGAUCCACAUGGCACCUUAUCUGGACUGUAUUUCUCAGGGAGUGUGCACAGUUAUGGCGUCAUACUCCAGCUGGAAUGGCGACAAAAUGCACUCUCACAAAUUUCUCCUAACUCAAGUUUUGAAAGAUAAGCUUGAGUUUAAGGGUUUUGUGAUUUCAGAUUGGAAAGCACUUGAGAGGCUUUCUGAUCCUUAUGGCUCAAACUAUCGUGCUUCCAUUUUAUCUGCUGUCAAUGCAGGAGUCGAUAUGAUAAUGGUGCCUUACAAAUAUGAAGUAUUUCUAGCGGAUUUAAUGUCUCUGGUUGAAUCGAGAGAGAUACCAAUGGCCAGGGUUGAUGAUGCUGUUGAAAGAAUUCUCAGGGUGAAAUUUGUUGCUGGUCUAUUCGAAUAUCCCAUGGCUGAGCGGUCUUUGCUAGACACAGUUGGUUGCAAGCUUCACAGAGAACUAGCACGUGAAGCAGUUCGCAAGUCCUUGGUACUGCUGAAGAAUGGAAAGGAUCCAAAGAAACCACUUCUUCCAUUAGAUAGGAAUCCUAGAAAGAUUCUUGUUGCCGGAACUCAUGCUGAUGAUCUUGGAUAUCAGUGUGGAGGGUGGACAAUUACUUGGGCUGGGACCAGUGGCAGAACCACCAUUGGUACGACUAUUCUGGAUGCCGUUAAAGAAGCAGUCGGAGACAAAACGGAAGUGGUGUUCGAGCAAAAUCUGUCACCAGACACCUUUGCUGGUCAAGAUAUCUCUUAUGCCAUUGUAGUUGUGGGUGAACCUCCAUACGUAGAAGGGGGUGGUGAUGAUCCAAACCUCAUAAUUUCCUUCAGAGGGUCUGAAAUCAUAAGCUCAGUUGCUGACAGAGUUCCCACAUUGGCAAUUCUCAUCUCUGGAAGGCCUUUAGUCAUAGAGCCAUCGCUUUUGGAAAAGGUGGAUGCUCUUGUUGCUGCUUGGUUACCUGGGAGCGAAGGGGCCGGAAUCACAGACGUUAUUUUAGGGGAUUAUGAGUUCCAGGGGCGGCUUCCGAUAACUUGGUUUAAAAGUGUCGAUCAACUUCCACUGCGUCAUGGGGAGAACUCCUAUGACCCUUUAUUUCCUCUUGGCUUUGGCUUAACAAGCAAAAACAUGAAGAUCUCAAAUUGACUACGCUCAGACAAGGCAUUGCUUGGAUGAAGGUUUUAAGGGAAAGGAGGCAAGAUGCGGACUCAAAUAAACUACGUACGAUUAAAGGCGGUGGAGAACAAAGGUGCUUUAUCAUGCAACUUGCUUGCAGAAAGUCUUCUCCUUUAUGUAAAGAAAUAAUAUGGCUUAUUCUGUGAAUGAUCUUUUUCUUCUUCUUAAUUUUUAAACUCGUCUCUUAGAUUUAUUUAAAAUAGUGAAGCUGCAUUCAAUAUUUGGAAUUGAUAACGGUCUCAUGCUGCAACUUAUUUGCUGCUGGACAGGAACCAGCUAAGGUUGAUCCUGGAAAGAGGUCCUUUGAGGAGGCCAACAAUAUUUCCAAUGAGAAUGAGUUGGUAGCCAACGUCAUGGUGGCUGAGGAGGACUUAAGAUCUAGUGUUGGUGAAACUGAAGGUGAAUCCCUAAGAGCGAUGAGGUCAGAGGAUGUUGCUCAACAACCAAAAAAUGUUGAGGUAGCUGAUUCAAGUACUACGGAGAGUGAUGAAGGCAAAUCCCAUAAACAGACAGAACCUGAAGCUAUGGUAGGCUUUUCGCAACCAGCCGCGAAGAAGGAUAAUUUAGACGACACCAAAGAUACGGAGGAAAUCAGAAAUUUAGCUGAUGAUGAGGAUGUUCAAGGCCGGUCUAAGAGUGAUCUGAGCAAUGGUGGCUUGGACCAAUCCGAAUGUAGCAAAGGUGAAACCAAAGAAGUGAUUAGACACGAUAUUUAGCUAACAUAUGGAAAUGAUCGCAACACAGAGGCAGAAAACAGCUAGACAGAGCUGGCGUGAUGCGUUUGGUUGCUGGUAGUCUUUAAACUAGUUGAGAAUAUGAAGUCGGCUCUGCUCUUUUGGACGGAAUUGCGAAUUGAAAAGGUUGAUUGGUAGAGAAAUCAGAUGAGGCUUAACCUUUCUACGCAAAUUCAGUAGGUAGAGUUGGAAUUAGAUGUCCUCAACAGUCAUUUUUCUGCAGUCUGAACUUUCUGCUUCUGGAAAUGCUCUUGAAUGGUUUUGUGAGUGUCUUUUCCCUUUUCUUCCUCGUACAAAAUCUAAUCCGAGUGGCCAAAGGCUCUACUUCUACGGCAUAAGUCAGUUUAGCGGGUGGAGAAUUAACCGAAUCUGUUUUCUCGGUUUGCUCAUCUGUUUUCCUCAGAGAGUUAGAGUUGUCCAAAAUUUGGACUGCUCUAUGCAAAUUCUACAUUACAUUGCUGUUGAAAGUCAUGGACAAUGUUGGAAGUGUCCAUGCCCACGGACAAUUUGGUAAUUUUAGCCGACCCCAAGUGAUUAAGACAUAAGGCUCGGUUUGGUUUGG
Molecule: RNA transcript, 3262 nt
Organism: Rhododendron vialii
Lineage: Eukaryota; Viridiplantae; Streptophyta; Magnoliopsida; Ericales; Ericaceae
Exons: 11
Source: RefSeq, a predicted model, not a curated record